AUGAGGACGAGGAGAGGAGGAGGUAGAGGAGGAGGAGGAGGGAGAGGAGGAGGAGGAGGAGGAGGGAGAGGAGGAGGAGGAGGAGGAAGCCACGGUCACUUGGAAGCACCAGCUCCCGCAGAUCUCCAUCGCUGCAGCUUUGCAAGCAGCGCACUCACCCUCCGCGUCCGCCCAUUCUCUACAAGUUGCCUUUUUUUUUUUAAGUGGAGUUUUAGAAGGAAAAAAAGGUACAAGUAAAGAAUCUUUUCAAAUGCAAAUGUUGGUAGUAGGGAACAGGAGGUAAGGAGUAGCAAACUAAUAGAGAAUAUCUAUGCCAAAUAUAUUUUGUUUUGAAGUUUCCAAUUCUUCCUCAUGGCUAAAUACCCUCAUUUGUGACUUUUAACAAUAUGAGAAUAUUUUUGUGAGCCUUAGCAAAAUGCUGAUUUAUGUAUCUUAACAAAAUUACACUGCAUGUAAGUAGUACUAUAUAUGUAAUCUAAUGGAUAAGAGUAAAAGGCAGAUGGUGGGUGAAAGGUUAGGUUGUAUCAUGAAACCACAAAUUUCAAGAAUUUGAUAUUGCCCCUCUUUCGCAGAACUGUAUCACUCCUUUAAAAGGUUUUUAAUUUAAAAAGUUUGUUAGGCAAAUUUUUGUUUUAGUCCAUCCUAGGAUAAUGUUAUAUUUUAAGAAACAAUAGUGUUAUAUAUUUUUUUAAAUCACAUUUUUCCACAUUAUAGAAAAACAACCUUGGGAGACUGGUUCAAUCCUGAGCAGAACUGUUGAGUUCAGAAGGGUCUGACGGUGCAAAGAAGUAUAUUCAAUUGAGUGAGGAAACGAACAACAGGAAGCAUAUAGGCUCAAAUCCAAGGCAAGACAUAUUUCUUGAUAUUGGAAAAAGGGAAAAUGAAGUACAAAGGCUCUCUGCCCUCAACAAUAUUAUAUAAAGGAAGUUAUGUUCUGAAAAGUAGAAUCAAGCUGGUGCCAGGCAGGAAGAGGUAGGUGUGCGUGUUUUGAGAUGUGAAGAAUGGCUGUUAUCCAGAUGGCAGACAGGACGACUGAAGGAGGAAUCAGAAGAAUUCAAGACACGUUCUUCGUUUUGCCAAAGCAGCAGUCUAUCCAAGUUUACUCAAGAUUUAAUACUUUAAAUUUGAGGUGAAACUUUAAUUAUACAUUUGGAAUAUUUGAAAAUUAAGAUUGCCUGUAGUUAUAAAAAGAACAUCUGGAAAGAAAUAUGUAAGAAAAACCAUUACUUGUGCAAAUCCCAUAAGACAAAUUCAAUUUCUAUUUCAAAUUAAUAGCUUAUCUGUUAGUAACAAUUCAGCUC
Molecule: long non-coding RNA, 1301 nt
Filed under: Canis lupus familiaris (dog)
Lineage: Eukaryota; Metazoa; Chordata; Mammalia; Carnivora; Canidae
Description: lncRNA (ENSCAFG00030013242.1)
Source: RNAcentral